UAUAUUCUGCCCCAGGGAAGGAUGAGAAGCUUCGACUAAGGUUCGACUCGAGCGAAGCGAGAGAACGUUGCCGCAGGCAACGGCCCGAAGGGCGAGGCGCUUUAGCGCCGAGUAAUCCUUCCCCCACCACCA
RNAcentral lists this small RNA (132 nucleotides) under Klebsiella pneumoniae. RNAcentral's name for it is "RtT RNA". It matches the Rfam family "RtT RNA". From Rfam's summary of the family: This family represents a bacterial cis-regulatory element known as RtT RNA. The exact function of RtT is unknown although it is thought that it may be involved in changing the cellular response in relation to amino acid starvation. Lineage: Bacteria; Pseudomonadati; Pseudomonadota; Gammaproteobacteria; Enterobacterales; Enterobacteriaceae. The record is from RNAcentral.